CAAUACAUAUAUAGAAAAUGCUGCAAUAGUCUUGGUAAUCUCAGUUAAUGGUAAUCAUCUUGCCUCAUUUCUUUACCCUCUUAUCUCUGCUGUUUUGAAUAUUCAGCUUCCUCUUUUUUUUCUGCCAGAUGUUUGUUUCCAUCUUGCCUCGAAGUCUGAGUUCAUAUCUCUGUUUUCUCUUCACUUCUCAUUGGGUGCGUAGCAAGAGGCGCGGCCUCUUUCGAUUCUUUCCUCGCUUCUGUCUUUCGCUCCUCUGCAUGUUACAUGGUACCCACCCCGACUUUCGGAUGACUUGAAAAGUUGUGCAGAGUUCAUCUUGACUGCUUCGUCCAAACUACUUACUGCAAAGAUGAAAGCGGCUCAACCAACACAACAUGCCUGGUCCUGCUGUUCAUGUUCUUGAUCCUGUUCCUCCUACUGGUGUACCUGUACUGGCGUCUGAACCGUGACAGCGAUGGCCAGUACACCGUUCGCAAGAUCGUGCUCGACGAGGGAGGCCUCCGUGACCAAAUUAGGUCAGGGGUCAUUGCCGUGGAGACCAGACUGGGUGUCCACCUGUGGCCCAGGCCUAGGGAUGAGGAGGAAGCUGUGGAAGAUGGAGAGCAGGCGAGGGAGAGGGAUGUGGAUGUGGAAAAAAGACAGAGCCAGGCAGACAUGCGUGAUGAGGGAGAGGAGGAGGUUCAGUGCAAACACAAGGAUGAAGAAGACGAGAGCUCAGAGGAUGACUACUCGAGCAUGGAUGGAGGAGACCUUCGAGAACGCGCCAGACUGAUGAAGGACAUGGAUGAGGAGGAGAGGAGAGGAGAAGGGGAAGGACAGGAAGAUGAGCCAGAGAAUGGGAGAAAGGAGGUGGUGGAGGAGGAGGAGGAGGAGGGGAAGAAUGGUGAAGGCCUGGGCUUGCUCGUCAACCUUCAGGAGUUUUCAGGCAGCGCCAUUUGGUCAGGGAAGGAGAAGGAUGAGAGCGAGGACAUUGAUCUGACCGCUCUGUGAGAAGAGAAGAAGAGAGGGAGAGAGAGAGAGGGGGAGAGGGAGAGGGAGAGAGGGAGAGAGAGAAUUCAAUUUCCUAUUUGGCCGAAUAAACAUUUUGUUAUGUGUACCUUUGUAUACAUGUGGACAUUCCAUUUAUCUGUGAAAUAUACAUGAGUAUUGGUAGCUUUGGGAUAGCUGUGGUACCUCAUGGGUAAUUUUAAAAAGUUAGAAAAUGUUUUAUUCCUACACCCACAUCUCUUCAUGAUCUCUUAUGGGUUCUAGAAACUGACCUGUAAGGAGAGACAUCAAUUUUAUACAGAAAACAACAAAGAGGAAACCCUUAAGGAGUCAAGAUUUCCCAGAAAAUAUGGUUACAAAUGUUCUUUCUCUUGUCCAUGUAGAACACAAGCCCUCAGGGAUUUUACGUAAAGCUACCUACUCUGAUGCAUCUGUCUUUGUAAAGGCCAGCUCAAUUAUCAGAUAAUUGUCAGUUCUCAUCUUAAAACAUUCUCAGGUUUAUAUUCAAAGGUACUUGUACUGGUCUGUCUCCAUGAGAGAACACUUAAACUUAACUUAAAAGCCUCUUUGUUGGUUAGGUUUCGGUUGGCUAUUUGUUUUAUUCAUGUUUUUAGCAAUGUUCAGCAUUCUUUCAUAUUUGUAUUCAUUUUUUCAACAAUGUUCAUCAUGUGGUCUUUUUAAGUGUUCGCGUAUGGGCUCAAGCUAGAAUUCAACUUAAUUUCACAAUUCACAGACUGAUUAAAAUAUCUCCUCUGUAGAAAUGGAGGUCAGCCUGAGUAUGCUGUUAAAUGAAAUCCACUCUAUGUUUACUGUUUUCUGGGCUAAAGUUGGUCUGCAUGAUGUUCAACUGUAACUGACAGAGAUAAUGUGAAACUGUUUAACAGUCUAUCCAUAAUGUGUACCUUAGCUAAACCUGACUUGCUUGUAAACAGAAUUUAAGAAAGUCUAUGACAUAACCGAAUAGAAAGGAGACGAGUUAAAAUAACAGAAGCUUAAAGGUUUUGUGUUUUCAGUUGAUGCAUUGUAAGGAAAAGUUGUACAGGCUUGUGGACAUUCUUAGUUUAAUAUCACUUAUAAACUAGCGGGUAUGUCUUAUUGCUAACCUGUUGUAUUUUUUUUUCUUGUAAUUAAAGGCUUUUGCUUGCUG
Long non-coding RNA from Clupea harengus (Atlantic herring), 2134 nucleotides. The record is from Ensembl. Lineage: Eukaryota; Metazoa; Chordata; Actinopteri; Clupeiformes; Clupeidae.